This is a non-coding RNA of Mycena latifolia, 91 nucleotides long. NCBI's taxonomy places the organism in Eukaryota, Fungi, Basidiomycota, Agaricomycetes, Agaricales, Mycenaceae. The record is from the annotation of a GenBank genome assembly.
GGCUCGAUGGUGCAAUUGUAACACAUCCUGUGUUGGUUCUUGCACAAGCACCUCUUGCAGGAAGUCUGGAGUCCGAUCCUCCGUUGAGCCA